RNAcentral lists this ribosomal RNA (497 nucleotides) under uncultured bacterium. RNAcentral describes it as "partial 16S ribosomal RNA". It matches the Rfam family "Bacterial small subunit ribosomal RNA", at positions 29 to 523 of the family's 1533-position model. The record is from RNAcentral.
AUUGAACGCUGGCGGCAGGCCUAACACAUGCAAGUCGAGCGAGAAAGGUCUUCGGACUGAGUAGAGCGGCGGACGGGUGAGUAACGCGUAGGAAGCUACCCGGUAGCGGGGGAUAACUCGGGGAAACUCGAGCUAAUACCGCAUACGCCCUGAGGGGGAAAGCGGGGGACCUUAUGGCCUCGCACUAUCGGAUGCGCCUGCGUCGGAUUAGCUGGUUGGUAGGGUAACGGCCUACCAAGGCGACGAUCCGUAGCUGGUCUGAGAGGAUGAUCAGCCACACUGGGACUGAGACACGGCCCAGACUCCUACGGGAGGCAGCAGUGGGGAAUAUUGGACAAUGGGGGCAACCCUGAUCCAGCCAUGCCGCGUGUGUGAAGAAGGCCUUCGGGUUGUAAAGCACUUUCAGCGGGGAGGAAAGGGCGCUGGUUAAUACCUGGCGCAGUUGACGCUACCCGCAGAAGAAGCACCGGCUAACUCCGUGCCAGCAGCCGCCGUAA